Molecule: long non-coding RNA, 906 nt
Organism: Raphanus sativus (radish)
Lineage: Eukaryota; Viridiplantae; Streptophyta; Magnoliopsida; Brassicales; Brassicaceae
Exons: 2
Source: RefSeq, a predicted model, not a curated record
UACUCCGUCGUAAAGGUUCGUAAUCAUCGUCGGCAGAGUCAGAGCAGAGCAGGUAUGUCUUUUCUUAUGGUUUCAACGCACCAACGAAAGAAAUCAGGAGACGUUACGCAAAUUCGUCGAGUCCAAACGUCGUAUUUAAUGCCUUCAUUAACAAUAUCUAUCCACUCCUCUCACGAUCUCUCAUUCAAUAGACAAAAAUGGAUACUUUGCUAUCUUCCUCGCUGAUUUGAAAGCAUGAUGUUAAGGAAAAGAUCAUACUUAUCAGAUGAGUCCUUUAACAGCCUUAUGAAUACACUCUUGGAAUAGUUUGCUAACUUGAGUAUUCUUCAUUUGCUGGUGAUCGCUAAAUUAGUUAAACUUUCAUGAGUCGGAUCCUACUUAUCUGUUUCAUAUUAAACGUGGCGUUGAAAAAAUCUUUUAUAUGUUCUCUCUCAGGUCUGUCAUGUAUGCAGAAAUACUCUUUAUAGAUAAAAGACUUGAUUGCAGUGUUUAAGUGUUUAUAGAUAACUGAUCGUCACUGUUUUUGUUUGUCCAGGUGGUUUCAUCUUCUUCUUAUGAUCAGAACGAUGAAAUGCUUGACGAUGAGAUUCAAGGAGAAGAAGCUUCAGAACCUUGUCUUGCUGGAAAGAGAAGAAAAGAAACUGAAAGAUCAAGCUCUGUUCUUCUACCAAAACCAACGAAAUUAAUUGCUCAUAGAGUAAAGGUAUGGGAAUUAUUUAUCCAAGAAGAGGAUGAUCCUACGAAAAGCAAUUGUUGUUUCUGUGAAUUUUCAGAAGUUGCAAGUAGGACUUAAAACACGUAUUGUUCGUAUUCUCCACGUGAAGGAGCUUAAUGUAUUUUGGUUCCAUUUUGUAUUUGAUUCAGCUUGAGUUGCAAUAUGUGUUUGUUCAAGACUUUUAGAUGCAA